This 61-nucleotide transfer RNA is filed under the name Varanus nebulosus (Clouded monitor). Its description in RNAcentral is "tRNA-Ser". The record is from RNAcentral. Lineage: Eukaryota; Metazoa; Chordata; Lepidosauria; Squamata; Varanidae.
AAGAAGACACACCCCGAGCUGCUAACUCACGGACCCUAGAAUUAAAUCCCUAGACUUCUUG